This 264-nucleotide ribosomal RNA is filed under the name uncultured Pelotomaculum sp. RNAcentral describes it as "partial 16S ribosomal RNA". It matches the Rfam family "Bacterial small subunit ribosomal RNA", at positions 1120 to 1382 of the family's 1533-position model. The record is from RNAcentral. Lineage: Bacteria; Bacillati; Bacillota; Clostridia; Eubacteriales; Desulfotomaculaceae.
AACAGGUGAAGCUGAGCACUCUAGACGAACUGCCGUUGACAAAACGGAGGAAGGUGGGGAUGACGUCAAAUCAUCAUGCCCCUUAUGUUCUGGGCUACACACGUGCUACAAUGGCCGGUACAGACGGAGGCGAAGCCGCGAGGCGGAGCAAAUCCGAAAAAGCCGGUCUCAGUUCGGAUUGCAGGCUGCAAUUCGCCUGCAUGAAGUCGGAAUCGCUAGUAAUCGCAGGUCAGCAUACUGCGGUCGAAUACGUUCCCGGGCCUU